This 464-nucleotide ribosomal RNA is filed under the name uncultured bacterium. Its description in RNAcentral is "partial 16S ribosomal RNA". It matches the Rfam family "Bacterial small subunit ribosomal RNA", at positions 28 to 507 of the family's 1533-position model. The record is from RNAcentral.
GACGAACGCUGGCGGCGUGCUUAACACAUGCAAGUCGAACGGUAAGGCCUUUCGGGGUUAUACGAGUGGCGAACGGGUGAGUAACACGUGAGCAAUAUGCCCUUGACUUCGGAUUCCCAGCUGGUAACAGAUGCUAAUACCGGAUAUGACCCUGGUCCUCCUGGACUGGGGUGGAAAGCUCCGUCGGUCAGGGAUGGGUUCGCGGCCUAGCUGCUUGUUUGUGUGGUAAUGGGUUUCCAAGGCUUCGACGGGUAGCCGGCCUGAGAGGGCGACCGGCCACACUGGGACUGAGAUACGGCCCAGACGCCUACGGGGGGCAGCAGUGGGGAAUAUUGCACAAUGGGCACAAGCCUGGUGCAGCAACGCCGCGUGCGGGAUGACGGCCUUCGGGUUGUAAACCGGUUUCAGUAGGGACGAAGCCACAAGUGACGGUACCUACAGAAGAAGGACCGGCUAACUACGUG